Molecule: ribosomal RNA, 228 nt
Filed under: uncultured bacterium
Lineage: Bacteria
Description: partial 16S ribosomal RNA
Rfam family: Bacterial small subunit ribosomal RNA
Source: RNAcentral
UGCGUAGGCGGUUAUAUAAGUCAUUUGUAAAAGAUCUCAGCUCAACUGAGUAGAGCGAAUGAAACUGUAUGACUUGAAUACGGUAGAGGUAAGUGGAAUUCCAUGUGUAGCGGUGGAAUGCGUAGAUAUAUGGAGGAACACCAAUGGCGAAGGCAACUUACUGGGCCGGAAUUGACGCUGAGGCACGAAAGCGUGGGGAGCAAACAGGAUUAGAUACCCUGGUAGUCC